Molecule: transfer RNA, 63 nt
Filed under: Neomazocraes dorosomatis
Lineage: Eukaryota; Metazoa; Platyhelminthes; Monogenea; Mazocraeidea; Mazocraeidae
Description: tRNA-Met
Source: RNAcentral
UGAAAAAUAAGUUAAUAAAAACUAUAUGAGUCAUGAUCAUAAAAUACAGAAAUGUUUUUUCAA